UUCCCAGGGGAAAAAUCCUGAACAAAGGGAUUUUUCAGAAAAUAUGAAUGCCACACCCUGGGACGCAGCUGUAGCUUGCAUUGCAGUGGUAAAGUAGACACAGAGCAUCUCUGACCUCCCCUAAGAGGAGAUUAAUUAGAGUGUUGCUGCUGUUGAGGCUUCUGCUGGUGAAGGAGGUAGGAGCUCUGCCUGGAGUCAGCCAGCAGUGGGAAGCCAGCACGUUGGGAUUGUAGCAAGAAUACCCACUAAGGGUGUCUCCCAGAAUACCCAGCAAACAGCCUGUGGAUUCAUCCAUGCUGACAGAGUCACUGAAGUCCCCACAGAGGCUGACACCAAGAGCCUGAAUCAUUGGUGUGUUUAUCCCACAAAUUCGUGGUUUAAAUGCACUUCAUACAGGGGUGGCUCUGUUACUUUGACUUUAGCCCAUGCAGCUGGUGGAGAGGUGAGGUGCACACUGCUGUGUCUGUGCUGGAUGUCCAGCUGGCUUUGCCUUGUGUCUCAGUUGAAUACUGCCCCAAACCAUUCUGUGUACAUUGUUUUUCUCAUUUUAAAACACCAAGCCUCACAAUUUCCUAAGUAGAUCUUUGGGGCUGUAGCCAUGUGACUCCCAUUGAAGACAACAGCACUCAUGCUACGUUCUUGUGUGCACAUCAAUCCUGAAGCACCCUGGGAUGCAGCUACCAGGAACCAUUCUGCUUUUUGACUGUUGCCAAUCAGGGAAGAGUGGGAGAAGGUUGAAGCUGCUCCCUGGUGCCCUAUCAAUGCUGCCAAAAAGAUAAGGAAGGAGCUGGGGUCAGAUGGGCAGUUGCUAAAAUGAGAAAUAUACUUUUUAGUGGUGGAGCUUUAUGCAUAGUGAGUGGGAUGAAAUUAAAAAGUGAGAGAAAGUGAGGUCCUGUUGCUGUUGUUGCUGGAGCUGGUGUGGUUGUAGAGGGUGAUGCCAAGAACUAAUGCAAAGAACCACACAGCAGAGGCAACUUGCCCUGCACAAACAAUCUUUAUUAUCUGUGACACACAACUUCUGAGCAUGGUCUACUGGCCCAUCAUUUGCUAACCAACUGGUAGUCAACAGAUGUCUGGGUAGCAUUUUGGUAAUAUUUGGGAUGGUACUGACCCAGUGGUGGCUGGUGCAGGAGUCUCAACAAUGGCACAGCCUAUAAAAAUCAAAAUUAUACAGAAUGAUUUUAAAGCUUGAUUUGUAAGAGACAUGGCACAUUUCUGAGGGGGAGAGGUUAGAUUUUUCCCUCACAUGAGGGUGCCUAGUGCUUUAAAGAAAAUACUGAGCAUUUUCCAGGACUUAUUUCUGUAUGUGGGUGAGAGGUGUCCUGAUGAUCAGUCCAGCUCCACGAAGGUCCCAGUUCUGUCAUAGCAUCUGACUCUAUUUGAACAGUUAGAUUUGUUGUGACAUAAAAUCCUAUUGAUGAUUCUGAGAGACACUUGUCGAGAUAAUAAAGAAUAAAAGAGCAUUCAUCUGCAAUUACAUUAGAUGCUUUUUGUAACAAAAGAAUAAAUUUUGCAUGGCAGAGGAGCUACACAGAGAUCAAUUUGGCCUACAGCUAUAUUUUUUUGUCAGUCCUCUGUACAUUUUUCUUUUCAAAGUCUAUUUUUCUGCUCACUAUUUGCAAAGAGACAUUGACCAUGACAUAGAAUAAGCAUGGUAGUUUUAUGAGUAGCCUGAUAUGGCCUGUUUAUCCUUUCAUUUCAAAAGCACACCAGACAGAUCUAUCUCAUCCUCCUGUAAUUCCCUCCUUUUCUUGUUUUUUUCCCUUUUCUUGAAAAUUGUAAUAGCAAAAUUGAAUGGGAGCUGAGAUCUUUUUUGCCAAAUUUUAGCCCAGCAGUAAGCUCUCUGUGCAAAGACUUGAAAAAGAAAACCUCAGAGGGAAGGAAAUGGGGAGUUAAGAUGGAAGUUCUGAUAUGACCUUACCUCAAGUGUCAUCCACAGCAAUGCUUUAAUUUAUUCAAUCAAUUGCAGGGCCCUUAGGCUGGGAAAGGAUAACUCUGGGA
Molecule: long non-coding RNA, 2001 nt
Organism: Passer domesticus (house sparrow)
Lineage: Eukaryota; Metazoa; Chordata; Aves; Passeriformes; Passeridae
Exons: 3
Source: RefSeq, a predicted model, not a curated record